UGGGGAAUAUUGGACAAUGGGCGAAAGCCUGAUCCAGCCAUGCCGCGUGUGUGAAGAAGGUCUUCGGAUUGUAAAGCACUUUAAGUUGGGAGGAAGGGCAUUAACCUAAUACGUUAGUGUUUUGACGUUACCGACAGAAUAAGCACCGGCUAACUCUGUGCCAGCAGCCGCGGUAAUACAGAGGGUGCAAGCGUUAAUCGGAAUUACUGGGCGUAAAGCGCGCGUAGGUGGUUUGUUAAGUUAGAUGUGAAAUCCCCGGGCGCAACCUGGGAACUGCAUUCAAAACUGACUGACUAGAGUAUGGUAGAGGGUGGUGGAAUUUCCUGUGUAGCGGUGAAAUGCGUAGAUAUAGGAAGGAACACCAGUGGCGAAGGCGACCACCUGGACUAAUACUGACACUGAGGUGCGAAAGCGUGGGGAGCAAACA
RNAcentral lists this ribosomal RNA (427 nucleotides) under uncultured bacterium. RNAcentral describes it as "partial 16S ribosomal RNA". It matches the Rfam family "Bacterial small subunit ribosomal RNA", at positions 355 to 774 of the family's 1533-position model. The record is from RNAcentral.